This 465-nucleotide ribosomal RNA is filed under the name uncultured bacterium. RNAcentral describes it as "partial 16S ribosomal RNA". It matches the Rfam family "Bacterial small subunit ribosomal RNA", at positions 338 to 795 of the family's 1533-position model. The record is from RNAcentral.
CCUACGGGUGGCUGCAGUAGGGAAUCUUCCACAAUGGGCGAAAGCCUGAUGGAGCAACGCCGCGUGGGUGAAGAAGGUCUUCGGAUCGUAAAACCCUGUUGUUAGAGAAGAAAGUGCGUGAGAGUAACUGUUCACGUUUCGACGGUAUCUAACCAGAAAGCCACGGCCAACUACGUGCCAGCAGCCGCGGUAAUAGGGAGGUGGCAAGAGUUAUCCGGAUUUAGUGGGCGUAAAGGGAACGCAGGCGGUCUUUUAAGUCGGAUGUGAAAGCCUUCGGCUUAACCGGAGUAGUGCAUUGGAGACGGGGAGACGUGAGUGCAGAAGAGGAGGGUGGAACGCGAGGGGUAGCGGUGAAAUGCGUAGAUAUAUGGAAGAACACCAGUGGCGAAGGCGGCUCUCUGGUCUGUAACUGACGCUGAGGUUCGAAAGCGUGGGUAGCAAACAGGAUUAGAUACCCCUGUAGUC